RNAcentral lists this ribosomal RNA (1542 nucleotides) under Triticum aestivum (bread wheat). Its description in RNAcentral is "partial small subunit ribosomal RNA". The record is from RNAcentral. Lineage: Eukaryota; Viridiplantae; Streptophyta; Magnoliopsida; Poales; Poaceae.
AUGGCGUCCUUUGCAAAGAUCGGCAUGGAGUGCCUACAAGAUCCCCUGAUCUGGCUAUUUCUUGCAAUCGCGUCCGUGGCCUUGGUCAUCCAGCCAGUGCCAAGACGGCGGCCCCUCCCUCCAGCUCCAGGCCCGAAGCCGCUGCCGGUCAUCGGCAACAUGAUGAUGGCGGACCAGUUGACUCACCGUGGCCUGGCGGCGCUGGCAAAGCAGUACGGCGGGUUGCUGCACCUCCGCAUGGGCUGGCUCCGGAUCUUCGUGGUGUCGACCCCUGAGUACGCGCGCGAGGUGCUCCACGCGCAGGACAACGAUGACUUCUGGGACCGCCCUGCCUCCAUCGCCAUCCUCUACCUCACCUACGGCUGCUCCGACAUGGCGUUCGCGCACGACGCGCGCUACUGGCGGCAGAUGCGCAAGCUGUGCGUCACGAAGCUCUUCAGCCGCCGGCGCGCCGAGACCUGGCUGGCCGUGCACGACGGGUAUGGGGAGCUCGUCCGGGACAUCGGCAGGUCCAGCGGGGAGGUCGUGAACCUCGGCGAGGUCAUCUUCAAGCACACCGUGAGGGUCAUCUGCCGGGCCGCCUUCAGCGUCCGCGACGUCCAAGGACUGGAGGAGCUCAUCCCCAUGUUGAGGGAGUUCUCCAAGCUCUUGGAAGCGUUCCACAUCGGUGACUUGUUCCCUUGGCUUAGCUGGAUGGGCCGGCGGGGCUUCGACAGCCGCCUCGGCGCUGUGCGCGGCGUUCUCGGCAAGUUUGCAGACAAGAUCAUUGACGAUCACAUGAGGAGGGGCAAGAAUCCCACCGAAGCCGACGCUGACAUGGUAGACGACCUACUCGCGUUCCUCGGUGAUGCCGGCCAAGCCAGCGCCAAGGACCUGCGCCUCACCCGCGACAACGUCAAGGCCUUGAUCAUGGACAUGUUGUUUGGCGGGCCGGAUAAUGUCGGCUUCACCAUUGAGUGGGCAAUGGCAGAGAUGAUUCAUUGCCCUAACAUCCUUCUGCAGCUGCAUCGGGAGCUCGCAAACAUUGUGGGGUUUGAGCGGAUGGUCUACGAAUCAGAUCUUGCCAAGCUCCCCUUCCUUAAGUGUGUCGUCAAGGAGACGCUUCGGAUGCACCCGCCGAUCCCGGUUAUCCUCCGCGGGACCACCAAAGAUUGUUUUCUUGGUGGAUACUCGGUGCCCAGGGGCUCUCGCGUAUUCAUCAACACGUGGGCAAUCAACCGGGACGGUGAGGCAUGGAAGGACCCUGACACUUUCCGGCCAUCAAGGUUCAUGCUCAACGGGGACGCCAUCGGGCUAGAUCUCAAGGGCGGUUGCUAUGAGUUCUUGUCAUUUGGUUCUGGAACACGCUCAUGCCCGGGGCAAGGGCUCGGCCAGCAUGCGGUGGAGUUUGCCAUAGCUCAGCUCGUGCACGGGUUUAACUGGAAGCUACCCGAUGACAUGAAUCCAAUGGAGCUCGACAUGAGCGACACGAUCGGUUCGACCGUGUCGCGCGCCACACGGCUCUGCGCGGUGCCCACACCCCGCCUUAGAUGUCCUUUGUAA